RNAcentral lists this small RNA (28 nucleotides) under Bombyx mori (domestic silkworm). Its description in RNAcentral is "ovarian small RNA-9725". Lineage: Eukaryota; Metazoa; Arthropoda; Insecta; Lepidoptera; Bombycidae. The record is from RNAcentral.
UUGCGGUAAAUGUUGUCGUCGGUCCCGC